UUGACAGUCGAGAGAUAAUUUUCCUUUUUAAUCCAGAGAACAAGAGCCACUUGGGAAGUGACUAUAAAUGUCCUCUGGGUGUCCCAGAGAUAUGCCUCAUCCCUUUGCUGGAAGGAACACACCUCUGGGAAGAAAACAACUUUGAUCAGUCAUUCUCUUUGGAAAA
Molecule: unclassified non-coding RNA, 166 nt
Organism: Propithecus coquereli (Coquerel's sifaka)
Lineage: Eukaryota; Metazoa; Chordata; Mammalia; Primates; Indriidae
Source: Ensembl